Molecule: ribosomal RNA, 440 nt
Filed under: uncultured bacterium
Lineage: Bacteria
Description: partial 16S ribosomal RNA
Rfam family: Bacterial small subunit ribosomal RNA
Source: RNAcentral
CCUACGGGUGGCAGCAGUGGGGAAUAUUGCACAAUGGAGGAAACCCUGAUGCAGCGACGCCGCGUGAGUGAAGAAGUAUUUCGGUAUGUAAAGCUCUAUCAGCAGGGAAGAAAAUGACGGUACCUGACUAAGAAGCUCCGGCUAACUACGUGCCAGCAGCCGCGGUACUACGUAGGGAGCACGCGUUAUCCGGAUUUACUGGGUGUAAAGGGAGCGUAGACGGUGAGGCAAGUCAGCAGUGAAAGCCCGGGGCUCAACUCCGGGACUGCAGUUGAAACUGGGUGACUGGAGUGCAGGAGAGGUAAGCGGAAUUCCUGGUGUAGCGGUGAAAUGCGUAGAGAUCAGGAGGAACACCAGUUGCGAAGGCGGCUUACUGGACUGUAACUGACGUUGAGGCUCGAAAGCGUGGGGAGCAAACAGGAUUAGAUACCCUUGUAGUC